GAUGAACGCUGGCGGCGUGCCUAAUACAUGCAAGUCGAGCGAACAGACGAGGAGCUUGCUCCUCUGACGUUAGCGGCGGACGGGUGAGUAACACGUGGAUAACCUACCUAUAAGACUGGGAUAACUUCGGGAAACCGGAGCUAAUACCGGAUAAUAUAUUGAACCGCAUGGUUCAAUAGUGAAAGACGGUUUUGCUGUCACUUAUAGAUGGAUCCGCGCCGCAUUAGCUAGUUGGUAAGGUAACGGCUUACCAAGGCAACGAUGCGUAGCCGACCUGAGAGGGUGAUCGGCCACACUGGAACUGAGACACGGUCCAGACUCCUACGGGAGGCAGCAGGAGGGAAUCUGCCGCAAUGGGCGAAAGCUUGACGGAGCAACGCCGCGUGAGUGAUGAAGGUCUUCGGAUCGUAAAACUCUGUUAUUAGGGAAGAACAAAUGUGUAAGUAACUAUGCACGUCUUGACGGUACCUAAUCAGAAAGCCACGGCUAACUACGU
Molecule: ribosomal RNA, 496 nt
Filed under: uncultured bacterium
Lineage: Bacteria
Description: partial 16S ribosomal RNA
Rfam family: Bacterial small subunit ribosomal RNA
Source: RNAcentral